GUCUACGGCCAUACCACCCUGAACGCACCCGAUCUCGUCUGAUCUCGGAAGCUAAGCAGGGUCGGGCCUGGUUAGUACUUGGAUGGGAGAACCUCUAGGGAAUCUAAAUUUCAUUUAAACAUUUUGGCAACGUAGGCU
RNAcentral lists this ribosomal RNA (138 nucleotides) under Panthera tigris altaica (Amur tiger). Lineage: Eukaryota; Metazoa; Chordata; Mammalia; Carnivora; Felidae. The record is from RNAcentral.